Molecule: long non-coding RNA, 409 nt
Organism: Numida meleagris (helmeted guineafowl)
Lineage: Eukaryota; Metazoa; Chordata; Aves; Galliformes; Numididae
Exons: 2
Source: RefSeq, a predicted model, not a curated record
GAGCCCGCCUGGGGGAGCGGCCCGGGCCCGGGCCCGCCUCGAGGGGCGGCGCCUGCGGAACCACCCCGGCGGCGCGGGGAAGCGCGGCCUCUUCGGGCGCGGGCGGCCGCGAGGCACGUGGGUUUGCGCGUUCCCGCGGGCGGGGGCCGCGGCGGCUGUCCGAAGAAACGAGGAAGCUGUCGGUGCUGCUCUGAAGGCCCACGUGGAAGGGUUUGCGCAGGGGAAGCUCAGGACCCACGCUGCUCCCAGAGGAGCCAUGGUUUCAGGAUCCGGCCUUAGCAAAUGGAAGUAGCGUGCGAGGUACAACGAGAACUUCGCAGACGAUUUGUUGAUGGUUGAGCCACGCUCGCUGCUAGUUCAAAACUGUACUGUUUUCUUUGGCCUGUUUAUUAAACUGACUUAAACUUGG